RNAcentral lists this ribosomal RNA (253 nucleotides) under uncultured bacterium. Its description in RNAcentral is "partial 16S ribosomal RNA". It matches the Rfam family "Bacterial small subunit ribosomal RNA", at positions 524 to 776 of the family's 1533-position model. The record is from RNAcentral.
UACAGAGGUCUCAAGCGUUGUUCGGAUUCAUUGGGCGUAAAGAGCGUGUAGGCGGCCAGGUAGGUCUGCUGUGAAAACUCGAGGCUCAACCUCGAGACGUCGGCGGAAACCAUCUGGCUAGAGUCCGGAAGAGGAGAGUGGAAUUCCUGGUGUAGCGGUGAAAUGCGCAGAUAUCAGGAAGAACACCCGUGGCGAAGGCGGUUCUCUGGGACGGUACUGACGCUGAGACGCGAAAGCGUGGGGAGCGAACAGG